GGAAUGUGUGCCAGAGUGUUCAGGAGGGAUUAGUUGCGCUGAAGUAUUGUCCCUCUGCCAAGAACCUAGCUGAUGGGUUCACGAAGCCACUCACCUUCCAAAGACAUGGGGAGUUUUGUGAAGGUCUGGGUUUGGGACGACCAAGGGUCGAUUCUCCCCUCAGGCGCGAGACAAGAGGGGGUGUUGGGUGUAGUGAAGGGUUAACCUUCUGUGUCUCGAGGCUGAGAGGAGGCGCUUACAAGGGAAGUAAGCCAGGACGUGACGAAAGCAGCUUGGAAUGCUGUGAGCUGAGUGAAAAGUGAAAGCAGCUUUGUUACGCAGCUGCAAGCUGAGAGAGAAGGACGCAGAGAAAGAUGCAGCUUGAAUCAGAUGGUGUUUAUGGAUUGUAAAUAUGCUACUUUUGAGCAAAUAAAGUGCUACUAGGAAAGAAGAAACGUGUGGGACUUGUUUUACUGCCCUUUCAACACGGACGCUGUGCAAUUCUGCUAAUUGCUUUACGACCUGCAGAGGCUCGCAGGGGGAAGUGUGCUGGACGCCAAGAAUAAAGCAAUAAAUCUACCUAACA
Podarcis lilfordi (Lilford's wall lizard) is the source of this 565-nucleotide non-coding RNA. The record is from the annotation of a GenBank genome assembly. NCBI's taxonomy places the organism in Eukaryota, Metazoa, Chordata, Lepidosauria, Squamata, Lacertidae.